ACAAACUUGGUCAUUUAGAGGAAGUAAAAGUCGUAACAAGGUCUCCGUUGGUGAACCAGCGGAGGGAUCAUUAUAGAGUCUCAGCACUCCCAAACCUUUGUGAAUAUACCCGUUGCUUCGGCGGGCGUACCGGGUGUCGUCUUGGCAUCCGGGUCAGCCUGCGGCCGCCGAGGAUCCAAACUUCUAUCUUUUUUUUUGUUUCUUCUUCUGAGUAUAGACAAAAAUGAAUUAAAACUUUCAGCAACGGAUCUCUUGGCUCUGGCAUCGAUGAAGAACGCAGC
Molecule: unclassified non-coding RNA, 281 nt
Filed under: uncultured fungus
Lineage: Eukaryota; Fungi
Description: partial contains small subunit ribosomal RNA, internal transcribed spacer 1, and 5.8S ribosomal RNA
Rfam family: Eukaryotic small subunit ribosomal RNA (bases 1-73)
Source: RNAcentral